This 497-nucleotide ribosomal RNA is filed under the name uncultured bacterium. RNAcentral's name for it is "partial 16S ribosomal RNA". It matches the Rfam family "Bacterial small subunit ribosomal RNA", at positions 28 to 507 of the family's 1533-position model. The record is from RNAcentral.
GAUGAACGCUGGCGGCGUGCCUAAUACAUGCAAGUCGAGCGAACGGACGAGAAGCUUGCUUCUUUGAUGUUAGCGGCGGACGGGUGUGUAACACGUGGAUAACCUACCUAUAAGACUGGGAUAACUUGGGGAAACCGUAGCUAACACCGGAGAAUAUUUUGCACCGCAUGGUUCAAAAGUGAAAGACGGUGUUGCUGUCACUUAUAGCUGGAUCCGCGCUGGAUUAGCUAGUUGGUAAGGUACCGGCGUAGCAAGGCAACGAUGCGUAUGCGAAGUGAGAGAGUGAUCGGCCACAUUGGAAGUGAGACACGCACCAUGCUCCUACGGGACGCAGCAGUAGCGAAUGUGACGCAGUGGGCGAAAGCCUGACGGAGCAGCGCCACGUGAGAUAUGAAGGUCUUCCGUUCGUAAAACUCGGUUAUUAGGGAAGAACAGAUUUGGAAGUUGCUGUGGACAGCUUGACGGUACCUAAUCAGAAAGCCACGGCUAACUACGUG